This 509-nucleotide ribosomal RNA is filed under the name uncultured bacterium. Its description in RNAcentral is "bacterial SSU rRNA". It matches the Rfam family "Bacterial small subunit ribosomal RNA", at positions 28 to 528 of the family's 1533-position model. The record is from RNAcentral.
GAUGAACGCUAGCGGGAGGCUUAACACAUGCAAGUCGAGGGGCAUCACGAUGUAGCAAUACUUUGGUGGCGACCGGCGCACGGGUGAGUAACGCGUAUGUAACCUGUCCUUUACAGGAGGAUAACCCGGAGAAAUUCGGACUAAUACUGCAUAAAGAUAUAAUGAGGCAUCUCAUAAUAUUUAAAACUACGGUGGUAAAGGAGGGGCAUGCGUAACAUUAGCUGGUUGGUAGGGUAACGGCCUACCAAGGCGAUGAUGUUUAGGGGACCUGAGAGGGUGACCCCCCCACACUGGUACUGAGACACGGACCAGACUCCUACGGGAGGCAGCAGUGAGGAAUAUUGGUCAAUGGGCGGCAGCCUGAACCAGCCAUCCCGCGUGAAGGAAGAAGGCGCUAUGCGUUGUAAACUUCUUUUUCAGGGGGUAUAAAAUUUUGUAUGUAUACAGAACUGAAGGUACCCUGAGAAUAAGCAUCGGCUAACUCCGUGCCAGCAGCCGCGGUAAUACGU